AGGUGGCGAGCGUUAUCCGGAAUGAUUGGGCGUAAAGGGUGCGUAGGCGGUACGGUAAGUCUGUAGUAAAAGGCGGCAGCUCAACUGUCGUAGGCUAUGGAAACUGUCGAACUAGAGUGCAGAAGAGGGCGAUGGAACUCCAUGUGUAGCGGUAAAAUGCGUAGAUAUAUGGAAGAACACCAGUGGCGAAGGCGGUCGCCUGGUCUGUAACUGACGCUGAAGCACGAAAGCGUGGGGAGCAAA
This 243-nucleotide ribosomal RNA is filed under the name uncultured bacterium. Its description in RNAcentral is "partial 16S ribosomal RNA". It matches the Rfam family "Bacterial small subunit ribosomal RNA", at positions 529 to 772 of the family's 1533-position model. The record is from RNAcentral.